GGUUGUAGCUCAGCAGUAGAGCGCUCACCUAGCACGUGAGAGGCACUGGGUUUCAAUCCUCAGCACCA
This 68-nucleotide transfer RNA is filed under the name Ictidomys tridecemlineatus (thirteen-lined ground squirrel). RNAcentral describes it as "Spermophilus tridecemlineatus (thirteen-lined ground squirrel) tRNA". It matches the Rfam family "tRNA". From Rfam's summary of the family: Transfer RNA (tRNA) molecules are approximately 80 nucleotides in length. Their secondary structure includes four short double-helical elements and three loops (D, anti-codon, and T loops). Further hydrogen bonds mediate the characteristic L-shaped molecular structure. tRNAs have two regions of fundamental functional importance: the anti-codon, which is responsible for specific mRNA codon recognition, and the 3' end, to which the tRNAs corresponding amino acid is attached (by aminoacyl-tRNA synthetases). tRNAs cope with the degeneracy of the genetic code in two manners: having more than one tRNA (with a specific anti-codon) for a particular amino acid; and 'wobble' base-pairing, i.e. permitting non-standard base-pairing at the 3rd anti-codon position. The record is from Rfam by way of RNAcentral. Lineage: Eukaryota; Metazoa; Chordata; Mammalia; Rodentia; Sciuridae.